Molecule: ribosomal RNA, 529 nt
Filed under: uncultured Desulfobacterales bacterium
Lineage: Bacteria; Pseudomonadati; Thermodesulfobacteriota; Desulfobacteria; Desulfobacterales
Description: bacterial SSU rRNA
Rfam family: Bacterial small subunit ribosomal RNA
Source: RNAcentral
AGUGGCGCACGGGUGAGUAACACGUGAGUAACCUGCCCUUAAAUCUGGGAUAACUUCGCGAAAGCGACGCUAGUACCGGAUAUCGUCUAUGAAACCCCGGUUUUUUAGAUGAAAGGUGACCUCUUCAUGAAAGUUGUCGUUUAAGGAGGGGCUCGCGUACCAUUAGCUAGUUGGUGGGGUAAUGGCCUACCAAGGCGACGAUGGUUAGCUGGUCUGAGAGGAUGACUAGCCACACUGGAACUGAAACACGGUCCAGACUCCUACGGGAGGCAGCAGUGAGGAAUUUUGCGCAAUGGGGGAAACCCUGACGCAGCAACGCCGCGUGAGUGAAGAAGGCCUUCGGGUCGUAAAGCUCUGUCAAGUGGAAAAAAAUAUUUAUGGUAAAUAGCCAUAAGUCCUGAUGGUACCACUAGAGGAAGCACCGGCUAACUCCGUGCCAGCAGCCGCGGUAAUACGGAGGGUGCAAGCGUUGUUCGGAAUUACUGGGCGUAAAGAGCGUGUAGGCGGGAUGGUAAGUCAGAUGUGAAAG